Molecule: long non-coding RNA, 21271 nt
Filed under: Malus domestica (apple)
Lineage: Eukaryota; Viridiplantae; Streptophyta; Magnoliopsida; Rosales; Rosaceae
Description: long non-coding RNA (MDOM_LNC006259)
Source: RNAcentral
CUCAUGUUCGCUGUACUCAACAAAAGCCUCUAUGAUGUUGCCUCUCCUCAUCAUCCCUUACUCACAACUGGGCCCCACGACUGCUUUCCUCUCUUGGUGUUGGAUAACAUGCUUGGAAAUCAUGAUCACAACCGUCCCGUAACCUCACUUGAUCAUGAUCACGACGAUCGUGACGGUGGUGAUGGUAUGAUUGAUAAUUAAGUCCCGCCUACAAGCACUACACAACUCUUUGCGACCCACCUGCCUUACUCUUUGUUACCAAAAUCUGUGACAACUUCUAGUAGUACUUGCGGUGUGUCAAAAUUCGUUUACGUUUGCCGCAACCCUAAAGAUGUAUUCAUUUCUUUAUGGAUCUUCGCAAGCAAAGUUAAAGCAGUAAACACAGGACUUGCACCCUUCUCACUAGAAUAAGCAUUUGAGCUUUUCUGCGGCGGUGUCUGCCCAUACGGGCCCUAUUGGGAUCAUGUGCUAGGGUUUUGGAAAGCAAGCUUGGAAAUGCCAGAGCGAGUUUUGUUCUUAAAAUAUGAGGAUCUCAGGAAGGAGCCAUCUGCUAAUGUGAAGAGACUGGCUGAAUUCUCGGGUCAACCUUUUUCAGAUGAGGACGAAAGCAAAGGGCUGAUGCAGCAGAUCAUAAAGCUUUGUAGUUUUGAGAAUCUGAGCUGCUUGGAGGUAAAUAAAACCUCCAAGACGCAACGGUACUUUAUUAAAGCCAAUCUUGUCAUCGAGAACAGUGACUUCUUCGGGAAAGGCCAAGUUGGGGAUUGGAAGAACUUCUUCACUGAUGACAUGGCAAAACGUAUGGAUCAUAUCAUAGAUGAAAGGAUCAGUGGUUCUGGAUUGACAUUUGCCAAUCCAUAGCUAGCCUUAAAAAUUAAUUGCUUAAUUAUUAUGUAUUGUGCUUCUCUUUGGUCAAUUUAACAAUAAACUUGGCAUAUUAAUUAUGAUCGAGCGGCACCACAAUGAAUAAUAACACGGAUUCACUUUCGUAUUGACGUUUAAGAUAAUUCAUGUGUGUGUGUGUGUGUAUCUCAAUAUGUGUGUGUCCAAGUCAACUAGCUAGUCCGCAUUUUAUGAUAGUGUAGUAUUAUGCAUAUAUGUGUGAAAGGAUUAUGAUGCAGGGAUUUGCUUUCUCCAUAAUUGAAAUUUUAUAAGUUUUCACAAACACUCCCUCGUCCCCGCUUCCACUUAACUUAUGGCUUGUUUUAAACUACUUUUUGUGAAAAUAUUUUUAGAACCAAUCUUUAGUAGAAAUGCAAGUGAGUCUUGAAACAACACUUGAAGUGAUUGCUACAAAAAUCACAUAACUGGUGCUUCUUACAGAAAGUCAUUUAAGUGCUUUUGGAACUCAAAUAUAUUUUUGUAAAAACGCUUUUAAUCGUUUUAAAAACACUUUUGAACGAACAUUUCCUUAUGUUUAAUAAUUACUAUUACAUACUAGUCUCGAUAUUUCUUAUUGAACAGGAUAAUUAAGCAAACUUUUGUUAAGAAACGUGAACAAACAUUGUAAUUUCAUACAUAGCAAAUAUAACAAAUUGUUUUCUUCCUCUAAAAAACCGUUCUUUCCUUUUCUGUAUAAUGCCCAUUUCAGUCAGUGACACUCACAAGAGGGGAUAAUCAUAGAGGCGGGCCACGGGGACGAUGGAGAAUUAUUUUCUCAAAAAUAGUUUACAAGAAGAAAUAAUAUUAGCUAAUCAACAACGAGCAAACUAGGCAUUUUAGCCCACCCCGGUCCAAUAAUAUUUAUUUCAUUAUAAGAAUUUACAGCUCUCUAAUUGGAGUAGAACUUUUAUUUAUAUUUAUCUCACAUUGGUCAAAUUGAAAAGUUUCUUACAUUUUAUGACAUCAAGUCCGUCUUACGAAGUGAUUGGAAAGAUGAAGUAUGGAGAGCAAAUUUGAACUUGAACUUUGAAUUUAAGCUUUAGGGUGUGAUAAUUAUAUAUAUAUAUGUGUGUGUGUGUGUAUAUAACUAAAAUAUAUUUAAUUAUGAAAAGAUGAGCCUUGGGUUUAGGUCUCUUAGACCAUCUCCAACUCUUAGAGUAAAACUCAAAUUUUAGGUUCUAAACUUAUCCCAACUUAUCCCAACUUGCUCCAACUCUUAGGGCAAAUAUGAGUUAAAACUCAAAACUCAUUUCUAGGGCAAAUGUAGCCCAGGAUUUCCCCUGAGUUAGUGGGGUUGGCCCACCAUAUAUGUAUAUUUUUUUAGUCUUAUAUUUAUAAAUUCAUUGAAUCCAACGGUUAAGAUCUAACUUGAUCAAAUCCAACGGUAAAAAAGAUAUCUAGCGGUCCAAAUUUAAAUUCAACGGCUAAAGUAAUUAAAAAAAUUAUUUUAUGUGUUUCAUAUUCUUUCGUAGUGUUCCACGAGUUUCAUGGUAUCGGUUUAGUGAUUUUUCAAUAUUUAUCGGAGUUUAAAUAUUUUUAGGUUAAAAUGUUAAUAAAAUUAAAUUAUGAUAGUCUACAUAUAUAUAUUUUUUAAGUUACUUUAAGAAAUAAAUUAUCCUAAAUUCUUAAUAAUCUCGGGCUAAAAAUUUAACCCAGAAGGUUUGGAGGAGAAAAGUUGUUUCUGAGUUAAAACCUAAAUUUUUUGGGCUAAAAAUUUAGGUUUUAACCCAAGUGUUAGAGAUGAUCUUAGGUUCGGACUCUAAUGUCAAUUAAAAUAAUUAAUUUAUUAAUUUUGGAUUUAAUUAUUUUUAUUUUAUUUCACAAAUAUUUAUUUAUUUUUAUUAAUUCGGUAGGGUCAUCCUUUUGGGUGAAGCGUGAGAUGAUGAAAGAAAUCUAGGAAAAUGCAUCAUUUCUGAGCACAUUCCUCCUAUAAAAUACAUCUCAAAUUGAUACAUGUUGCGAACAGGUAUAUGUACAUUAUACAUCCAUUUGCAUUGCAUUUAGAAUACAAAAAAAAAAAAUCAUUUUCAUACUAUUGAGAGAAGCACAAAGAAGUUUACGAACCAGUGUAACAGUAUAUCUCUUGACUUGUCCCCUUCAGAACAUAACAACCCAAUUGAAUUGUUGUUUAACUCAAACAUAUCUGCACAAAAAGGGAUGAGUCCAAAGCUUCAAGACAAAAAAACCCUUCUUUGGCCAAUAAGUAAAAGAUAGAAAAUAAGGAGGAAAAAAAAUUGUAGUGAAAGAAGAAAUUGGUAGUGGGAUCAUAAAUAAAAAGAUGACGGGAAAAACCCUUAGUGAAUAGGGUAAUAAACACAAAUUAAUAAGAAAAAAAAGGUUACAAGAGUUACAAAAAAUAAAAGGAAAACCAAUGGAAAAUGUUUGAAAACUUUGAGUUUUAAUGAUAAGGACAAAAUAAAGGGUCAAGUAAAUAGUACCAUGUUUGACUUUUUAAUGUAAAAAUAUGAUUUUUCGUUAAAGUGAAUAGUACCAUGGGCUUGUCGUUAAAACUCCCAAAAAUAAAAGACUGAAGAUUCCAUCUUAAUUUCUCAUUACGUCACAAAAACUAAAAGACUGAAGAUUCCAUCUUAAUUUCUCACUAACCACAAAUAAUGACAAAUAAACUUACUUUCCUACUAACCACCAAAUAAUAACAAUUAUAAUUAAUUUAAUAUUACAAAUGAACUAACCUAGCUAGAUCGUGCUCAUUCUCAUUACGUCACAAAAUGUCUUCAGCUUUGUCCCACCCUUCUUCUUCUAAGCCACACCGCCGUAAUAUUGUUCCUGAACCAAUUACAUUAAGCAGAAGGAAGGCCUGGAAGCCUACCAAAAACCUAUAUGCAGAGUUUCCGCUAAACCUUUCGAAAAAGAUGGGUUACGCCACUUGGUUCAAUACUAAGGCUACUGGCUAAACCAUGCCUUUGCCUUAAAAAAUAGUAUUGUUGCUUCAACACCAUUCCAACUUCCUCAAAACUUCUGCACCAGCUGCAAGUACUUGUGCCGCCGCCCGUGGCUCCUACAUUUUCUUCCUGGCUACAUAUCUAAAAUCAGGUAGAACAUGGCUUAGAGCACUCAUCUUUGCUACCAUCAAGAUAAUUUAUAGAAUUUUUACCACCUGCAAAAAUAGAGAUAAAAACACUUAAAAAUACUUUAAAGAGAACAAGGUAAUCGUAGUAUAACAGCUCAAGCAAGGUCGUUUUCCACAAAGAUUGAAUGAAUAAUUUAUGUAAAAUCAAUCUUAGUUAAUUAUUUGAAAGUUGAAACGAAGUUUUGGAAAAUAUUGAUUUUAAGACCUAAAAUAAGAAAAACGAAUUUAAUUAAAAAAUAUUAGAAAAAUAAGCAAAAGUAAAAGAAACUAAAAUAAAACGAUUUGGAAAAUCAAUUUGUAAAAGCACUAACUGAACACUGAAUUAUUGACCCAUUCUAUUGAGAUAUGGUCUUACCGCUUUUGGGUACAUAGCAUUUUUAGAAUUUUUAGCAUUUUUAGUUCAUAAACCCCACCAUUCACCAUUAUUAAUGUGCAAUGCACGUUAUUGAUUUAACGUGCUCUCUACUCAACUACUUUAGAAAUGACUUUAUUUAAAAAGAUCAUGAUAUUUAUUUAUGAAGAAAUAACACUAGUGUCCAAUGCAAUUUUGCUAGAUCCAUCUGAAGUGACUCCUGCUUUUGGAUUUUUUUCCGAUAUUCAAUUCACGUUAUUGAUUUAACGUGCUCUCUACUCUACUCAACUACUUUGAAAUGACUUUAUUUAAAAAGAUCCUGAUAUUUAUUUAUGAAGACAUAACACUAGUGGCCAUGCAAUAUUGCUAGAUCCAUCUGAAGUAGGUCUGGCAAACGGAUCGUGUUUGUGUCAUUUUCGUAUAACAUAUAUUAUUUUAACGAAUCGUGUCGUGUUACACCCAUUAUCUUAACGGAUCCUUAAUAGGUCGGGUCAAUGGGUAAAGUGACCCGACUUGUUAUGAUUCAUUAUGACCCAUUAAGAAAAAUGUAUUUUUUUUCUUAAAUUUGCACAUACCACACAUUGCCACAUAAAUAUUACUUUAAAACAUUAAAACACAUUUGUCUUUUAAGUACUACACCUACACUUGAAAAUAAGAGUCUAAGAAACAAACAUUCAUACAUUACUAGUCUAUUACAAAAUAUUAAAUGUGCAAGGAUAUGCAAAAUGAAAGAGUUUUUGUUUUCAAGGUUGUGAAGCCUUUCUCAAAAGUUUAAACAUUGUCAAUGGAAUUCAAAGCUUGCAUAUUAUUCCUUUUACAAAACCCUUAAAUUUCAUCGAUCAUCAUGACAUAAGAUUUUGUAAUAUCCACUAGUGUAAAUAUUUUAAAUUGAAGAUCGAAUUCAUUCAUUGUAUUCAUACAGGGUGAAAUAGUGUAGCUAUAAAAAAAAUCAUCAAAAUCAGAGUUAAAAUAACCGUUAAAUCGUAAUUUUUCGUUGAUAACCGUCGAAAAGUUUUGUCCCGUUACUUGAUCUCUGAAUGUUUGUUUUUUGCAAUUUUUGACGUAUGCAAUCUUGAAGCAUAUACAAACAAGUUUGACGGUUAGAUAGUUGAAAUUAGUUUCAUAGAAUGCGUAUCCCAUCAAAACGAUAGAUUCACAAAUACUUAAAGUUUAUUUAUACUUUCAUUAAGUAUAACAUAAGAUUUUGUGGUAUCCACUAGUGUCAAUAUUUUGAAUUGAAGAUCGAAUUUAUUCAUUGUAUUCCUAUAGGGUCAAGGAAUGUAGCUGAAAAAAUCAUCAAAAUCGGAGUUAAAAUAAACGUUAAAUCGUAAUUUUUCGUUGAUAACUGUCGAAAAGUUUUGUCCCAUUACUUGAUUUCUGAAUGUUUGUUUUUUGCAAUUUUUGGCGUAUGCGAUCUCAAAGUAUAUACAAACAUGUUUGACGGUUGGAUCGUUGAAAUUAGUUUUGUAGAAUGCGUAUCCCAUCAAAACGAUAGAUUCACUAACACUAAAGAGUUUAUUCAUACUUUCAUUAAGUAUAACGAUAGAUUCACUAACACUAAAGAGUUUAUUCAUACUUUCAUUAAGUAUAACAUAAGAUUUUGUGGUAUCCACUAGUGUAAAUAUUUUAAAUUGAAGAUCAAGUUCAUUCAUUGUAUUCAUAUAGAGUCAAGGAGUGUAGUUGUAAAAAAUCACCGAAAUCAGAGUUAAAAUAGUCGUUAAAUCAUGAUUUUGUAGUUGAUAAUCGUUGAAAAGUUUUGUCUCGUUACUUAAUCUUUGAAUGUUUUUUUUUGCAAUUUUUGGCAUAUGUGAUCUUGAAGUAUAUACAAAUAUGUUUGACGGUUGGAUCGUUGAACCUAGUUUCGUAAAAUGCGUAUACCAUCAAAACAGUAGAUUCACUAACACUUAAGAGUUUAUUUAUACUUUAAUUAAGUAUAACAUAAGAUUUUGUGGUAUCCACUAGUGUAAAUAUUUUAAAUUGAAGAUCGAGUUCCUUCAUUGUAUUCAUAUAGGGUCAAGGAGUGUAACUGUAAAAAAAUCAUCAAAAUUGGAGUUAAAAUAACCGCUAAAUCGUAAUUUUUUGUUGAUAACCGUCGAAACAUUUUGUCCCGUUACUUGAUCUCCGAAUGUUUGUUUUUUGCGAUUUUUGGCGUAUGCGAUCUCGAAACAUAUACAAACAAGUUUAACGAUUGGAUUGUUGAAAUUAGCUUCGUAGAAUGUGUAUUCUAUCAAAACGAUGGAUUCACUAACACUUAAGAGUUUAUUCAUACUUUCAUUUAGUGUAAAUAUUUUAAAUUGAAGAUCGAAUUCAUUCAUUGCAUUCAUAUAAACUCAAGGAGUGUAGCUGUAAAAAAUCAUCAAAAUCGGAGUUAAAAAUAACCGUUAAAUCACGAUUUUUCUUUGAUAACUGUUGAAAAGUUUUGUCUCGUUACUUGAUCGUUGAAUGUUUGUUUUUUGCAAUUUUUGGUUUAUGCGAUCUCGAAGUAUAUAUAAACAUGUUUGAUGGUUAGAUCGUUGAAAUUAGUUUCGUAGAAUGCGUAUCCCAUCAAAACGAUAGAUUCACUAACACUUAAGAGUUUAUUCAUACUUUCAUUAAGUAUAAUAUAAGAUUUUGUGAUAUCCACUAGUGUCAAUAUUUUAAAUUAAAGAUCAAGUUCAUUCAUUGUAUUCAUAUAGGGUCAAGGAGUGUAAUUGUAAAAAAAUCAUCAAAAUCGGAGUUAAAAGAACCGUUAAAUCGUGAUUUUUUUGUUGAUAACAGUUGAAAAGUUUUGUCCUGUGAAUUGAUCUUUGAAUGUUUGUUUUUUACAAUUUUUGGCUUAUGCGAUCUUGAAGUAUAUACAAACAUAUUUGACGGUUGGAUCGUUGAAACUAGCUUCAUAUAAUGCGCAUCUCAUCAAAACAAUAGAUUCACUAACACUUAAGAGUUUAUUCAUAGUUUCACUAGUGUAAAUAUUUUAAAUUGAAGAUCGAGUUCAUUUAUUGUAUUCGUAUAGGGUCAAGGAGUGUAGCUGUAAAAAAAUUAUCAAAAUCAGAGUUAAAAUAACAGUUAAAUCGUGAUUUUUCGUUCAUAACCGUCGAAAAGUUUUGUCUCGUUAUUUGAUAUCUGAAUGUUUGUUUUUUACGAUUUUUUGUGUAUGCGAUUUUGGAGCAUGUACAAAUAAGUUUGACGGUUGGAUCGUUGAAAUUAGCUUCGUAGAAUGCGUAUCCCAUCAAAAUGAUAGAUUCACUAAAACUUAAAGAGUUUAUUCAUACUUUCAUGAAGUAUAACAUAAGAUUUUGUGGUAUCCACUGGUUAAAUAUUUUAAAUUGAAAAUUAAAUUCAUUCAUUGUAUUCAUAUAGGGUCAAGGAGUGUAGCUGUAAAAAAUCAUCAAAAUCGGAGUUAAAAUAACCGUUAAAUCGUGAUUUUUCGUUCAUAACCGUAAAAAAGUUUUGUCCCAUGACUUGAUCUCUGGAUGUAUGUUUUUUGCAAUUUUUGGCGUAUGCAAUCUCAAAGUAUAUACAAACAUGUUUGACGGUUAGAUCGUUGAAACUAGUUUCGUAGAAUGCGUAUCCCAUCAAAACAAUAGAUUCACUAACACUUAAGAGUUUCUUCAUACUUUCAUUAAGUAUAAUAUAAGAUCCACUAGUGUAAAUAUUUUAAAUUGAAGAUCGAGUUCAUUCAUUGUAUUCGUAUAGGGUCAAGGAGUGUAGCUGUAAAAAAUUAUCAAAAUCGGAGUUAAAAUAACCGUUAAAUCGUGAUUUUUCGUUGAUAACAGUCGAAAAUGUUUGUCUCGUUACUUGAUCUUUGAAUGUUUGUUUUUUGCGAGUUUUUGUUGAUGCGAUCUCAAAGCAUAUACAAACAAGUUUGACAGUUGAAUAAUUGAAAUUAGUUUCGUAGAAUUUGUAUCCCAUCAAGUUCAAUGAUAUAUAUAUAUAUUUAUUAAAUAGAUUUAAAUUUAUUUAUUUUGUACGUAUAACACUUAAGAAAUUGAGUGAUAUGUAUAUUUAAGCCGAUCCAAUGGUUGCCAAUUUUUAAUAUUUAAUUUAAUAUAUACAUAUAUAUAUAUAAUUAUUAUAGUUUUUAGGGGUAUAAAAUUGUUAAAUUAAUAUAUACUAGAAGAUGAGCGCACACUUUGUGUGUGAACAAUUUCAUUUUCUUUUUUGUUUUUUAUUAAGGAGUGUGAUUAGUUUUUUAAAAUUUUAAAAAGAGUAUGAGACAAUGAUGAUGUGAUUUCUUAAUAAGGCCAUAUUUUUCUUAAUAUUACAUAAUUACCAUUUUUCCUCCUUUAUGUAAAUUUUGUGUAUCAAAAGUGAGGGUAAAAUAGGAAAAAUGGGGAUAUGAUUAUCAUUUUAUCAAAAGAUACAAAAUUAUUAUUUUGCCCUCCUUGUGUAAGUAUUGUGUAUCAAAAGUGAUGGCAAAAUUAGAAAAAAAUGGCAAAAAGUUGACAAGGAGGGUUCUCUUAAUAGAAUAGAUAAUUAUUAUAAUAUUUUUUUAGUGUUAUAAAAUUAUAAAAUUAAUAUUUUGCUUAUCGUGUAUCGUGUUAUCCACGUGUAUACCCGAAUCAAUCCGUUAUCUUAACAGGUGUUUAUCGGGUUACCUGAUAACGACCCGAUUUGUUAUUGUGUCGACCCGAACAUAUUUUAAUUUCAUAUUAUGUCUUGUUGGAUUAUCGGGUCGUGUUAGGAAUUACCAGGCCUAAUAUGAAGGGACUCCUCCUUUUGGAUUUUUUUUCCAAUAUGUUUCAUUAUUUUGUAGUGCAGUGUUAGAUUCUCAUUGAAAACGUCAAUUCAAAAGUCAUAUUUAGGGAUGGGCAAUGGUUAUGGCGGGCGGGUAACCGCGAUUAUUUACCCAUAACCAUUUAUGUUUAUACCCGCAUAACCGUUUACCCGUUGGGUAAUUACAUAAAUGGUUAUACCCAUAACCAUAACCGUUUAUAAACGGUUAUCCAUACCCAUAACCGUGUACCCAUUUACCCAUAACCAUUUACCCAUUUAAUCAUAACCAUAACCAUUUAAUUUACCCAUUUUUUCGCCUGUUUAUCAUUUUUUAACCCAUUUACCCUCUUUUUUUUUCGCCCGUCUACAUUAUUUUUUUAACAAUUUGAAAAUUACAAAAGAAAAAUUUGUCAUAAUUUUUAUUUUCUGACAAUUAAACACCGUUAUAAAUGCAUUUUAGCAUACAUUUCUCUAUUUUAAUCAUUUAAGUUCUCGUAUAAUUCCAAUAAUUGAAAUAAUAGUUUACGAACGAUAUUUUUCUGUAUAGCAUAUCCCAAAAACUUAGUCAAAAGCAUAUCCCAAUAAUUGAAAUAAAUGAUAUGCUCUGUACACGAUAAUUCUCGAAGUUGGAACUGAACAUCUUGAAGUGUCAUCUGCAACAUCUACAAGUGAAGAACUCCACAGCCAACAAAACAAAACAACCAAUCAAUUUUUUUCAAACUAACGCAAUCAAUUUUAAUCAAUUUUUCUAUAUAACAACUAGGGAUGGGCAAAAUAUCCAUGGGUAUGGAUAACCGCGGUUACCCGCCCAUUUAAAGUUGAUGGUUAUGGUUAUGGGUAACCGUUUAAACAAAUAAACAGUUAUGGGUAAAACCGUUUAUCCAUGAAAUUUAAAUGGGCGGUUAUGGGUAUUAUCCGCGGUUAUAACGGGUAUCCAUCGAUUAUGGGUAAUAUUUAUGGUUAUAAUGGGUAUCCAUUUACCCAUUUAAUUUAAUAUAUGUAAAAUUAAAAAAAAAAAGUAAAAACCCUCAGAGUUACAAAUCCAUCACUCUCUUUCUCCGCCUCUCGACUUCGUCAAUCUCUCUCCGAUGCUCUCUCUCUCCGUCGCUCUCUCUUUGCGCCUCUCUCUCCGUCGCUCUCUCUUUGGGCCUCUCUCUCCGUCGCUCUCUCUGCGCCUCUCGACUUCGACUCAACCACACCUCGGCGACCUCGCUCAGACAAUCUCACCACCCUCCUCGACCUCACCUCAGACAACCUCCUCACCUUAGAAUCUGGGACAUCAGUUAAAUUUUGGAAUUAAUUUAGGGUUUGAGAUUUAGGGUUUGUGAAAUUUAAAUUAGGAUUUGUCAAAUCUAGUCUUGAUUAGGCAUUGUUCUUGAUUUUAUUAAAAAUUUGCAUUGUUCUUGAUUUUGGAAAUGUACUUGUGUGUUUGGUUCUCCAGUUUGUAUCUGUGUUAUGUAUUACUGAAUUUAGUAGAGUAAUUAUGUGUUCACAUAUCUUUAUUUAACUCUUAUUACUCUACAGGCUUUUAAAUUUUGCCUAGGACUAUUUGGUAUUGUUUUGUUUGAAUGAAAUGUAGCAGUAAGUAGGGGGUUCCAAGUUGGUAAACUCUUAUUACUCAGUUUUCUUGCUGUAUUUGUGUUUAAUCUUGUUAUACCAUUUUUGGGAGGAGGGAAUUUUCAAUUUUGUUAUGUCUUGUUGUUUGAAAUUUGCAGAGAUCAAUCGCAGUGAGAAUUCUGCCAUGGCCAAAAGCUCGUUCAAGCUUGAACAUACUCUGGGUAUGCUUUUAAUUUUUAAUUUUGUUGGGUUAUUUGUAUGGUUUCUGGAAUGCCCAUAUGCCUGUUUUGGUUUCUUUUAAUUGGCUGAUUGUAGUUUUUGAUGUCUUGUUCUUGAACACCUGAAUUAUGGAUUGUGGCCCUUUUGGAUUGAAGGAUGAUUUGCAGAUAAAAGUUUAUGUCUUUUCAAUUUUAUAAAACAAAAGUUUGGGUUUUUAUCGAUUGCUUCAGCUUGGUAUUGUUUAAAUUUUAGUAUGAGUUUUGUUAUCGAACUUGUUCUGAUAUCAAACUUGUUUGUUCAAUGGAAUUAAGUCGUGCGAUUAUAAAUCAUCGGCCUUUGUUUGACAUGAGUUUUUCUAUCGAACUUGUUUUCGAUAGAAUUAAUUUGUGGGGUUGUAGAUUAUCAACUCAAUAGCAUCUGUUUGGUAUUUUAAAUCAGUCUCAGUUUUCGUAUGAACUAUUUCCACCUGCAAUAUAAUUUGUGAAUUGAUAAUCUGUAUUUGUUUCAGCAGGAACUCUUUUCGUAUGAAUUAUUUGAAGAUAUUUAGAUCUUCAAAAAGUCUUGUAUCUAACUGUUUCAACUAGUUCCAAGAUGGAGACUCAAAGCGAGAACCAAGCUAUUGAACCAAUUAAUCUUGAUCAAGAAUUGGACCUUAGUGAAUCAAGCUUUGAUGACACUGGUAGGAAGAGAACCAUCUGAUUUGAUUCGUUCUCAAUAGCCAUGAGAUGAUCAUCUUAGGGUGAUCAUUUUGUCGACGGAUGCUCCUAUUACACUCGUAGUCUCUGAAGGAUGAGAACCAACUAUGUAGCAUCUACAUCGAGAAUUCAAGUAUUGUAUACGUCAUUAGUCCGAUCCUUUGUAGGAACUACCCAUAAUAACGAACUUGCAAAAUGAAUCUCUUUAUGGCAGAAUUUUGAGGAAAAAAGUUUUUGUGGGGAGGUGAAAGCUGUCUGUAACCAUUGUAAAGCUAGGCUAGCAUCGGGCUCCACUGUUGGUACUUCAUCUUCACUUUCACAUGUUAGAACAUGUCUUGUAUUGAACACAAAGAAAAAGAGUCCAGUUAUAAUCGGUGAUGAGUCUGUUAAACAUGGUGCAUAUAGUUUUGAUGAAGGUAAUGCUAGGAAAGAGCUAGCUUAUAUGAUUAUCUUACAUGAGUAUCCUUUAUCUAUGGUGGACCACUUGGGUUUUAAGAGGUUUUGCAAUUCAUUGCAACCCUUAUUUAAGGUUAUUUCUAGAAGUACAAUCAAGAGGGAUAUUAUGAAAGUAUUUGAAUGUGAAAAGGGAGAGACCAUGAAGUUGUUGCAAAUGAACAAGAGGAAAAUUGCAAUCACGACUGACAUGUGGACUUCAAGUAAUUAGAAGAGAGGGUUUAUGGCUAUCACUUCUCAUUUUAUCGAUGCUUCGUGGACGCUUCAAAGUCGAAUUCUAAGGUAAUUUAUCAAACUAAUACCAUAUCUUUGUAAUUUAAAGAAGUGUUCACCAUUGGUUGUUUUGUUCUGUUAGCUAUGGAGUUCUUCACUUUUUUGCGUUAGUUUGGAAACUUUUCUAACAUGUUCUAACAUGUUGGAUGUGGGAUAUGCUUUUGACUAAGUUUUUGGAAAACGUUUUGGAGACUUUCACAUGUUGGAUGUGGGAUAUGCUUUUGACUAAGUUUGGAAACUUUUUGUUUCCUUUUUACAUAAUCUGGAAUAUGUCUUGUUUACUGAUGGAAGAGAUUUUGCUUCUGUGUAUUAAAUUUCUUUUGUAGGAUAUGCUUUUGACUAAUUCAAUUAUACAUUUCUUUUGUAGGCCUCUUUUGGUGACCACGAGUCGAUGAUACUUUGUGAUUGAACGUGUUCGAAACACAUAUUUCAAUUAGAUGAAAUUAUAUGAAAUAAUAGAGGGUUAACUCAGUUUUGUGAUGAAUUAGAUGAAAUUUGGUCGGUUUCGUAUGGUUGUUUUUUGUUAUCAGAAACAUAGAUUUAUGAGUUGUUGCUAAAGGGUUUGUUGCUUUAAAAAUCAUUCGUGAAUUCAGAAAUAAAAAAGCUCUACUUUUACUCUUCCUUUAGGCUCAAUUUUCUCAGGUUCCUGAACUUCCAUAAUUUAUUGGUUGUUAUACAGAAUAAAAAAAAUUGAUUGGUUGCUAUUAGGGAUGGGCAAUGGUUAUGGCGGGUGGGUAACCGCGAUUAUUUACCCAUAACCAUUUAUGUUCAUACCCGCAUAACCGUUUACCCGUUGGGUAAUUACAUAAAUGGUUAUACCCAUAACCAUAACCGUUUAUAAACGGUUAUCCAUACCCAUAACUGUGUACCCAUUUACCCAUAACCAUUUACCCAUUUAACCAUAACCAUAACCAUUUACCCAUUUACCCAUUUUUUCGCCCGUUUAUCCUUUUUAACCCAUUUACCCUCUCUUUUUUCGCAUGUCUACAUUAUUUUUUUAACAAUUUGAAAAUUACAAAAGAAAAAUUUGUCAUAAUUUUUAUUUUCUGACAAUUAAACACCGUUAUAAAUACAUUUUAGCAUACAUUUCCCUAUUUUAAUCAUUUAAGUUCUCGUAUAAUUCCAAUAAUUGAAAUAAAAGUUUACGAACGAUAUUUUUCUGUAUAGCAAGUUGUUCUGUAUAGCAUAUCCCAAAAACUUAGUCAAAAGCAUAUCCCAAUAAUUGAAAUAAAUGAUAUGCUCUGUACACGAUAAUUCUCGAAGCUGGAACCGAACAUCUUGAAGUGUCAUCUGCAACAUCUACAAGUGAAGAACUCCACAGCCAACAGAACAAAACAACCAAUCAAUUUUUUCAAACUAAUGCAAUCAAUUUUAAUCAAUUUUUCUGUAUAGCAACCAAUCAAUUUUUUUUAUUCUGUAUAGCAACCAAUAAAUUAUGGAAGUUCAGGAACCUGAGAAAAUUGAGCCUAAAGGAAGAGUAAAAGUAGAGCUUUUUUAUUUCUGAAUUCCCGAAUGAUUUUUAAAGCAACAAACCCUUUAGCAACAGCUCAUAAAUAUGUGUUUCUGAUAACAAAAAACAACCAUACGAAACCAACCAAAUUUCAUCUAAUUCAUCACAAAACUGAGUUAACCCUCUAUUAUUUCAUAUAAUUUCAUCUAAUUGAAAUCUAUGUUACACGUUCAAUCACAAAGCAUCAUCGACUCGUUGUCACCAAAAGAGGCCUACAAAAGAAAUGUAUAAUUGAAUUAGUCAAAAGCAUAUCCUACAAAAAAAAUUUAAUACACAGAAGCAAGAUCUCUUCCAUCAGUAAACAAGACAUAUUCCAGAUUAUGUAAAAAGGAAACAAAAAGUUUCCAAACUUAGUCAAAAGCAUAUCCCACAUCCAACAUGUGAAAGUCUCCAAAAAGUUUUCCAAAAACUUAGUCAAAAGCAUAUCCCGCAUCCAACAUGUUAGAACAUGUUAGAAAAGUUUCCAAACUAACGCAAAAAAGUGAAGAACUCCACAGCCAACAGAACAAAACAACCAAUCCGAACACUUCUUUAAAUUACAAAGAUAUGGUAUUAGUUCGAUAAAUUACCUUAGAAUUCGACUUUGAAGCGUCCACGAAGCAUCGAUAAAAUGAGAAGUGAUAGCCAUAAACCCUCUCUUCUGAUUACUUGAAGUCCACAUGUCAGUCGUGAUUGCAAUUUUACUCUUGUUCAUUUGCAACAACUUCAUGGUCUCUCCCUUUUCACAUUCAAAUACUUUCAUAAUAUCCCUCUUGAUUGUACUUCUAGAAAUAACCUUAAAUAAGGGUUGCAAUGAAUUGCAAAACCUCUUAAAACCCAAGUGGUCCACCAUAGAUAAAGGAUACUCAUGUAAGAUAAUCAUAUAAGCUAGCUCUUUCCCAGCAUUACCUUCAUCAAAACUAUAUGCACCAUGUUUAACAGACCCAUCACCGGCUAUAACUGGACUCUUUUUCUUUGUCUUCAAUACAGGACAUGUUCUAACAUGUGAAAGUAAAGAUGAAGUACCAACAGUGGAGCCCGAUGCUAGCCUAGCUUUACAAUGGUUACAGACAACUUUCACCUCCCCACAAAAACUUUUUUCCUCAAAAUGCUGCCAGACAACUGAGGUUCUUUUUCUCUUCCUACCAGUGUCAUCAAAGCUUGAUUCACUUAGGUCCAAUUCUUGAUCAAGAUUAAUUGGUUCAAUAGCUUGGUUCUCGCUUUGAGUCUCCAUCUUGGAACUAGUUGAAACAGUUAGAUACAAGACUUUUUGAAGAUCUAAGAUCUUCAAAUAAUUCAUACGAAAAGAGUUCCUGCUGAAACAAAUACAGAUUAUCAAUUCACAAAUUAUAUUGCAAGUGGAAAUAGUUCAUAUGAAAACUGAGACUGAUUUAAAAUACCAAAUAGAUGCUAUUGAGUUGAUAAUCUACAACCCCACAAAUUAAUUCUAUCAAAAACAAGUUCGAUAGAAAAACUCAUGUCAAACAAAGGCCGAUGAUUUAUAAUCCCACGACUUAAUUCCAUUGAACAAACAAGUUUGAUAUCAGAACAAGUUCGAUAACAAAACUCAUACUAAAAUUUAAACAAUACCAAGCUGAAGCAAUCGAUAAAAACCCAAACUUUUGUUUUAUAAAAUUGAAAAGACAUAAACUUUUAUCUGCAAAUCAUCCUUCAAUCCAAAAGGGCCACAAUCCAUAAUUCAGGUGUUCAAGAACAAGACAUCAAAAACUACAAUCAGCCAAUUAAAAGAAACCAAAACAAGCAUAUGGGCAUUCCAGAAACCAUACAAAUAACCCAACAAAAUUAAAAAUUAAAAAUUAAAAGCAUACCCAGAGUAUGUUCAAGCUUGAACGAGCUUUUGGCCAUGGCGGAAUUCUCACUGCGAUUGAUCUCUGCAAAUUUCAAACAACAAGAUAUAACAAAAUUGAAAAUUCCCUCCUACCCAAAAAUGGUAUAACAAGAUUAAACACAAAUACAGCAAGAAAACUGAGUAAUAAGAGUUUACCAACUUGGAACCCCCUACUUACUGCUACAUUUCAUUCAAACAAAACAAUACCAAAUAGUCCUAGGCAAAAUUUAAAAGCCUGUAGAGUAAUAAGAGUUAAAUAAAGAUAUGUGAACACAUAAUUACUCUACUAAAUUCAGUAAUACAUAACACAGAUACAAACUGGAGAACCAAACACACAAGUACAUUUCCAAAAUCAAGAACAAUGCAAAUUUUUAAUAAAAUCAAGAACAAUGCCUAAUCAAGACUAGAUUUCACAAAUCCUAAUUUAAAUUUCACAAACCCUAAAUCUCAAACCCUAAAUUAAUUCCAAAAUUUAACUGAUGUCCCGAAUUCUGAGGUGAGGAGGUUGUCUGAGGUGAGGUCGAGGAGGGUGGUGAGGUUGUCUGAGCGAGGUCGAGGAGGGUGGUGAGGUUGUCUGAGCGAGGUCGCCGAGGUGUGGUCGAGUCAAAGUCGAGAGGCGCAGAGAGAGCGACGGAGAGAGAGGCCCAAAGAGCGACGGAGAGAGAGAGCGAGUGACGGAGAGAGAGGCGCAAAGAAAGAGCGACGGAGAGAGAGAGUGACGGAGAGAGAGAGCGACGGAGAGAGAGAGUGACGAAGUCGAGAGGCGGAGAAAGAGAGUGACGGAUUUGUAACUCUGAGGGUUUUUACUUUUUUUUUUUUAAUUUUACAUAUAUUAAAUUAAAUGGGUAAAUGGAUACCCAUUAUAACCAUGAAUAUUACCCAUAACCGAUGGAUACCCGUUAUAACCGCGGAUAAUACCCAUAACCGCCCAUUUAAAUUUCAUGGAUAAACGGUUAUACCCAUAACCGUUUAUUUGUUUAAACGGUUACCCAUAACCAUAACCAUCAACUUUAAAUGGACGGGUAACCGCGGUUUCCCAUACCCAUGGAUAUUUUGCCCAUCCCUAGUCACAUUGUACGCUCUGUUUUUUUCCGUGAAAAUAUCAUUAAACUGUUUGGUUAACAUUAUGUAUAAUUGAUUACCAACACAUUAUGUACAUAAUGUAAUUCAUAUCAUGUUUUUGUAUCACAUUUUCAUACUAUUUUUGGUGACAUUUGAUGUGGACAGCCACAUUAUUUGAAUUAAUUAGAUUUUAAAUUUAGUUCAUUAUUUAAUAAAUUAAUAAUUAAGAAAAAUUAAUUAAUUAAAUGAUAAUUGUGAUAUACGAGGAGUUUUUCUCCUUCAUUUUCUUAGGUUUUGCAAAUUUUUCAAAUGAUGUGGUUGUCACUUAAGGUGAUAUAGAAAUGUGAUAUAAAAAUAUAGUAUGAAUAACAUUACUCCUAUCUAUUAGAGUUUUCCUUGCAAGCAAAGACAUCGUGGUCCAAACCGUCAAUGUUGAGUCAUCCAUAUCAAAGACACCUUGCCAUCUUCUGAAGGAUUGAUCCCUGUACCGUCGUCGCACUCGUUUUUAGCUGCAAUGGUUAUUUUAUACGAUGACUGCACUACAAAGAAAUUGAUCUAAGAACGCAAAAAUAAAAUAAAAAAUUAGUGAAGAUUACUAUCGCAUUUAAAAAAAUAACGAUAAAUUUCUUAACGAAGAUUAACAACCUCGCGCUCUUUUUUAGCUGCAAUAGUUCUCAAAGCCCAGUUACAAUUUUUUAGUGCAGAUGAGUCUCGCAAAGAUGAAGGCAUGUUCGAGGAUUAAGGUCUCUAAUUGGUAGAUGGCUCAGAUGGAACAAAGUUAUCUGUACAGCAGUUGGUAGAAAAAUGAGGAGCCGAAGUUUUACGCAUAGAGAAUCCCAUCGUGAGGAGCUUGCAUACUGGCGGAUCUAGGAAAUAAUAUUAUGGGGCUUAGUAAGAAUAAUGUGUGUAGCGCGUAAAUUUUUUUAAACAUAAAUAGCAUGCGUAUCAUCAUUUCAUCGAGUCUUGGUAGACCUGAAAUCAUUUGAAAAUGCAUACUGCACACCUGUUAAUGCCUCAUUUGCAUGGGUAACUAACAUGUUCUAAGGCUGUUCCCAUAUGAUAGCUUAACAAUGAAAUACACUUAUCUUGAACACACUAACAAUGUUUGAUAUCAUUGCAUCCCAUUAAUAUGUUUGUCCAAGAAUGAUGAUAGUUUGUUACUCUUUGAGAUCACCAUUUCAUUUCCUUUGCAUUUUUGGAUAAUUUUUACUUGGUUCUUUUUUUCUACUUACAAUUGUAAUCAUAACCAACAAAUAAGUCAGAAGUAAAUAAUAUUAGGACCAUACUGGAAAGGGGCAACACAUCUCUAAUGUAUUUUAUCAAGCAGUUGAAGGGCAUAUAUAAAGGGCAACUCCAACCUUUAAAGGGGCAACACGCAAGUCAUUCAUGGAUAUUCACCGAAAUUCGAAAGGUCAGCACUCAAGCUAUCUCUGGAUAUUCACUGAAGUUCGAGGGUCAGUUGACCUCAUGCCCCUCAAUGCAUCCGCCCUUGCUUGCAUAUGUAUAGUUUCUCUUUCUUUCGACGAUCUGGGGACGAACAUCCAUAUCUCUUCAUUUUCUACAACCCAAAAUAUAAAAUUAAAAGAAAAUGUAAACGACAAGGUGAAGGAAUUUUACAAACUCUUUUUGCCCGAUUUAGAUGAAUUAAAAAAUAUUUGAAGCUGGGGAAAACUGCUAUUCCAUGUCAUACCAUAUUAAAUUUGAUUUUUCAGAUGAAAAACAUUGAUGCUGUUAUUUUUUAUUGUUAUUAUUGAUUUCGAUAUUUUAAUAUCUCCUUGAAGAUGUUCAAUCUAGAAAUUGAGAGAUGGAAGGAACCACAAAUUUAUCACAACUUUCUGGGUUUCAUCUGCAUCGAGAGAAAGUGGGGAGGAGAGAGGGUGACGAAUAGGCUAAUAGCAAACAAGAGAGAGAAAUAUCGUCUUAAAUUAUAAUUUUUAAAAUUAUAUUAAUAGUCGGACCCAAGAAUGAAGGCAAUUGAAUUCUCAAAUACACGGAAAUGAAUCAUCUUUAGAUCUCUUCCAUUAUACAUCAAUCCAAGUUUAUGAAAUCUGAUAUUAUUAUAACAAUUAAUGGAAUCUCUUGUUUUUAAUCAUGAAUCAAAUUUCAAGAAUCAGAAUCGGUACAUCGGAAGGAUUUGGAAUUUGGAGAGGAUCCAUUUUCCAAAUGCACGUGGUGAGUCUAGUUAGCUAGCUUUCCCUUUUUGAAUUAUAUUAAUAGUGGGACCGAAGAGUCUAGGCUGUUGAAGGCAAAUACACGCGAAUAGUGGGCGGGAAACCAAGAAUGAAGGCAAAUGAAGGCAAAUACAGGUGGUAAGCAUAGAUUUAAAAAUCGAUAAUAUCGGCGAUUCGUUUUUUUCAUAUAACGAUAUUUCGUGAGUAUUUUUUUAAUUAUCGUUAAUAUAUCGCGAUAAUAUCGAUAUUUCGUAAGUAUUUUGAUAUUAUCGCGAUAUUAUAUAUAAUAUCGCGAGAUGAACCUAAAAAUAUUUGAAAAUUUCUGAAAAGUCUCAAACGCACAUAAAGGGAUUCGAACCCCUCCCCUCUAACUCCUUCAGCGACUUGACCACUAUACCACUUACGUUUUUGUGAAAACAUGCUAAACUAUUUAUAUAUAUGGUUUUGUUUUGAAUUCUUUUUGCAAGAAACAAAUUUGCACAUAUUCCAAAUUUUUUGUGGUAUUAUAUUUUAAAUUGUGUCAAUUAAUUACUUAGUCAAUGGCAUGUGGUUUUUAAUUUUUCUAUUUUUUAUUUGGUCACUUACAUGUAUGGUUGGAAAAAAUUCCCGAAAAUCCCAAACCAAACCGAAAAAGUCCCAAACCAAAACCAUCCCGAAAAAUACCGAAAAUUUUCGAUAUGGGAUUGGUUUCCAAAUCCCAUUUGUUUGGAAAUCCUGAAAUCCCGAAAAAUACCGAAGUAUUCGGUUUUCCUAUUGACUUUUGGGUUUCGGUUCUUGAAAGAAGCCAUUGCCAUGGUUGCUAACUACUCUUCACAAUACACUUACUCUACACAUAGUGAUGAUGAAGAUAGUGAAAAUUUUGAACCUCAUAGGAACUCUAUGUGGUACUUAGUCACUCAUGUAUCUUACCAUGCAAUGUAUAAAGUGUAAAAUAUUGUACUAAUUCAUUAUAUAUAAAUGAUUAUGGUGUGUUUAAACUUCUUUCAUUAAUUAUUAUAUAUUUUCUACACUCACAAUGUUUGCCAGCUCGCUAUAUAAUCAACUUAAAUCAGUUAAAUCCAUCAUGCAAUGCAUUUCAUUCCAAUUUUUUGUGAUAAACUAAUAGAUAAUUGACUAAAUAAACAUCCUGCAAAGUUUCAAUAAAAAUUUCCAAGUUUUUCUUACAAUUUCCGUGGUUUCCAUGUAAUUUUUAUCGAUAUCGAUAUUAUCCCGAUAUUUCCAUCGAUAUUUCCAUGUUUUCAGACUACCGAUAUUUCCGAUAUUACCGAUAUUUUCUUCCUUGGUGGUAAGCCAUUCCGUCUGGCAUUCUUCCUUUAUGUAUAUAGAUUAAUAGCGGGACCCAAAAAUGAAAGUAAUUAAAACCACACGUGGUAAGCGAGUCCGGCUGGACCUUUAUAAUUAUAAUUUGGAUAAUGCGAGGUACAAUUUAUAAAUAAAUUUUGCAAAUUAAAUGUUGAUAAACGUACUAAUUUAUAUUAAUAAUAUCAUUUAAUUUAUAAAUUUUAUAUACAAAUUUAAUCCCUUAGCAUUAAGUUUAUAUUUUAGUCACUACUUAAGUACUUAUAGCUAUAGAUUAUAGAAUAUAUAAAUAUAUAUAUAUAUAUAUAUAUUUAGAGAAUUGUUAUUGACAUUUUAAAAUUCUCAUUCUACACUCCAAAUUUUCUAUAUUUAGAAAGAAAAAUAUACUUGUGAUGAGUAUAAAAUGAGAUUUUUGAAGUGCCAAUAACAUUUUCCAAUAUUUAUUUAUCAAAAUCAUUACUUAUAUUAUAAUCACUACUUGUAGCUAUAUAUUAGAGUUUAUGUAAGGCUUGUAAACCUUGAUAUCCUGCAUUUUCCCCCAAAUGUCUUCAACUUAGACGUCCCAACCUUUUUCUAAGUCAUGCCAAAAUAUUGUUCCUAAAACCAAUUAUAUUGAGGAGAAGGAAGACGGGGAAGGCUGCCGGAAAAUUGAUGCCGCAUUAUGUAGAGAAAUGCUGCCAAAUCUUCCGAAAGAGAAGGGUUGGACCACUGAACACUUGGUUCAGUACAAAGGGGUCUGGCUAAACCCUAUCUUUGCCUUAAAAGCAGCCGUGCAGCUUCAACACCAUUUCAACUUAUUCCAAACAACCGGAAGUUCUACCAGCGCCGCCCGUCGGUCGUCGCCCAUAUGCUUCUUGGCCACAAUUCCGAAAUCAGGUACGACGUGGCUUAGAGCACUCAUGUUCGCUAUACUCAACAGAAGCCUCUAUGAUGCUGCCUCUCCUCAUCAUAUCCCUUGCUCACAACUGGGCCCCACGACUGUUUUCCUUUCUUGGAGAUGGAUAACAUGCUUGGAAACCAUGAUCACAGUCGUCCCGUAACCUCACUUGAUCAUGAUCACGACGAUCGUGACGGUGGUGAUGGUAUGAUUAAUAAUUAUGUUCCGCCUACAAGCACUACACAACUCUUUGCGACCCACCUGCCUUACUCUUUGUUACCAAAGUCUGUGACUACUUCUAGUAGUGCUUAUU